ACAGCAGUAGCCGCGGUAAUACGAAGGGUGCAAGCGUUAAUCGGAAUUACUGGGCGUAAAGCGUGCGUAGGCGGUGAGUUAAGUCUGCUGUGAAAUCCCCGGGCUCAACCUGGGAAUGGCAGUGGAUACUGGCUCGCUAGAGUGUGUCAGAGGAUGGUGGAAUUCCCGGUGUAGCGGUGAAAUGCGUAGAGAUCGGGAGGAACAUCAGUGGCGAAGGCGACUAUCUGGGCCAACACUGACACUGAGGCACGAGAGCGUGGGGAGCAAACAGGAUUAGAUACCCCAGUAGUCCCUGUCUCUUAUAC
RNAcentral lists this ribosomal RNA (305 nucleotides) under uncultured bacterium. RNAcentral describes it as "partial 16S ribosomal RNA". It matches the Rfam family "Bacterial small subunit ribosomal RNA", at positions 508 to 807 of the family's 1533-position model. The record is from RNAcentral.